This 450-nucleotide ribosomal RNA is filed under the name uncultured bacterium. RNAcentral describes it as "partial 16S ribosomal RNA". It matches the Rfam family "Bacterial small subunit ribosomal RNA", at positions 354 to 796 of the family's 1533-position model. The record is from RNAcentral.
GUAGGGAAUCUUCCACAAUGGACGAAAGUCUGAUGGAGCAACGCCGCGUGAACGAUGAAGGCCCUCGGGUCGUAAAGUUCUGUUGUAAGGGAAGAACAAGUGCCGCAGGCAAUGGCGGCACCUUGACGGUACCUUGCGAGAAAGCCACGGCUAACUACGUGCCAGCAGCCGCGGUAAUACGUAGGUGGCAAGCGUUGUCCGGAAUUAUUGGGCGUAAAGCGCGCGCAGGCGGCCUCUUAAGUCUGAUGUGAAAGCCCCCGGCUCAACCGGGGAGGGCCAUUGGCAACUGGGAGGCUUGAGUAUAGGAGAGAAGAGUGGAAUUCCACGUGUAGCGGUGAAAUGCGUAGAGAUGUGGAGGAACACCAGUGGCGAAGGCGACUCUUUGGCCUAUAACUGACGCUGAGGCGCGAAAGCGUGGGGAGCAAACAGGAUUAGAUACCCGAGUAGUCC